GCUUGUGAUCAAGGGCCUGGUCUCAAGACACGGUCAGAGAUCAGAGGCCACACCAUCAUAGCAGUGGAGCAGGACCAGCUGGCACAGGGUCCUUCUGUGCAAACUGCUGCAUCACCAGGCUGUGUGAACGGACUCAAUUGUCAGAACUCACAAAAUAUCAGUAUCAGCACCGAAACCUCACAGGAAAAAUGCUCCAUGUUUAGCUCCACGAACUUCAGACUUAAACAGCAUCACUGGCUCCUGACCAGGAUUCCAGCUCCACGAACCUCAAACUAGAACACCAGCCUGGCUUGUCCGCAGGUCUCCAGCUCCAAAACCUAAGACAUCAGUGGCAGUACCUACUCCUCCCGGGGGCUCCAGCUCCGAGACCCUCAGACUUGAACCGCAGCACCAGCUCUUCCCCGGAUCUCCAGCUCCACCACCCUCAGACUUAAACAACAGCAGCACCAGCUCAUCUGUCUCCAGCUGCUGGACCCUCAAACUAGAACAUCAGCUCCUCCCCGAGUCUCCAGCUGCAUGACUCUCAAUUAGAACAACAUCAGCUCCUCCCCGGGUCUCCAGCUCCACAACCUGCAAACUAGAACAGCAGCAGCUCCUCCCUGGAUUUCCAGCUCCAACAACCUCAAACUAGAACAACAUCAGCUCCUCCCUGGGUCUCCAGCUCCACAACCCGCAAACUAGAACAUCAGCAGCUCCUCCCUGGAUUUCCAGCUCCAACAACCUCAAACUAGAACAAAAUCAGUUCCUCCCUGUGUCUCCAGCUCCAUGACCUUUUGAUCAGAAAAACAUGAACCACUACCUGAGUCUCCAGAUGCAGGAGCCUCAAACUAGAACAACAUCAACUCCUGUCCGGGUCUCCAGCUGCAUAACCCAUAAACUAGAACAUCAGCUCCUCCCAGGUCUCCAGCUGCACGACCCUCAAACUAGAACAUCAGCUCCUCCCCGGGUCUCCAGCUGCACGACCCGCAAACUAGAACAACAUCAGCUCCUCCCAGGUCUCCAGCUGCACAACCUGCAAACUAGAACAACAUCAGCUCCUCCCCAGGUCUCCAGCUGCACGACCCGCAAACUAGAACAUCAGCUCCUCCCAGGUCUCCAGCUGCACGACCCUCAAACUAGAACAUCAGCUCCUCCCAGGUCUCCAGCUGCACAACCCGCAAACUAGAACAACAUCAGCUCCUCCCCAGGUCUCCAGCUGCACGACCCUCAAACUAGAACAUCAGCUCCUCCCAGGUCUCCAGCUGCACGACCCUCAAACUAGAACAUCAGCUCCUCUCCAGGUCUCCAGCAGUAGGGCCCUCAGACUAGAACAUCAGUUCCUCUCUGAGUCUUCAGCUGCAUGACCCUCAAUCUAGAACAUCAACUGCUCUCCAGGUCUCCAGCUGUAGCGCCCUCAAAAUAGAACAUCAGCUUCUUCCCGAGUCUUCAGCUGCACGACCCUCAAACUAGAACAUCAGCUCCUCUCCCGGUCUGCAGCUACAAGACUCUCAAACUAGAACAUCAGCUCCUCUCCGGGUCUGCAGCUGCAAGACCCUCAAACUAGAACAUCAGCUCCUCUCUGGGUUUUCACCUCCAUGACCCUCAAUCUAGAACAUCAGCACCUCCCUGAGUCUCCAGUUGAAAGACCCUCAAAGUGAACAUCAGCUCCUCCCUGAGUCUUCAGCUGCAUGACACUCCAUCUAGAACAUCAGCUCCUGUCCGGUUCUCCAGCUGUACGAACCUCAAACUAGAACUUCAGCUCCUCCCUGAGUCUUCUGCUGCACGACCCUCAAAUUAGAACCUCAGCUCCUCCCUGAGACUUCAGCUGCACGACCCUCAAACUAGAACAUCAGCUCCUCUCCGGGUCUGCAGCUGCAAGACCCUCAAACUAGAACAUCGGCUUCUCUCCAGGUCUCCAGUUCCGUGACCCUAAAUCUAGAACAUCAGCUCCUCCCUGAGUCUCCAACUGAAAGACCCUCAAUGUGAACAACAUCAGCUCCUCCCCAAGUCUUCAGUUGCACAACCCUCAAACUAGAACAUCAGCUCCUCCCCGAGUCUGUAGUUGCAAGACUCUCAAAUUACAGCUCCUCCCUGAGUCUUCAGCUGCACGACCCUCAAACUAGAACAUCAACUCCUCUCCAGAUCUCCAGUUCCAUGACACUCAAUCUAGAACAUCAGCUCCUCCGAGUCUCCAACUGAAAGACCCUCAACGCAAACAACAUCAGCUCUUCCCCAAGUCUUCAGCUGCACGACCCUCAAACUAAAACAUCAGCUCCUCUCCACGUCUCCAGCUGUAGGGCCCUCAAACUAGAACAUCAGCUCCUCUCCUAGUCUUCAGCUGCACGACCCUCAAUCUAGAACAUCAACGCCUCUCCUGGUCUCCAGCUGUAGGGCCCUGAAACUAGAAUAUCAGCUCCUCCCCGAGUCUUCAGCUGUACGACCCUCAAACUAGAACAUCAGCUCCUCUCCGAAUCUCCUGCUGUAGGGCCCUCAAUCUAGAACAUCAGCUCCUCCCCGAGACUUCAGCUGUACGACCCUCAAACUAGAACAUCAGCUCCUCCCCGAGUCUUCAGCUGUAUGACCCUCAAUCUAGAACAUCAGCUCCUCUACAGGUUUGCAGCUGCAAGACACUCAAACUAGAACAUCAGCUCCUCCCUGAGUCUUCAGCUGUAUGACCCUCAAUCUAGAACAUCAGCUCCUCUACAGGUUUGCAGCUGCAAAACACUCAAAACUAGAACAUCAGCUCCUCCCUGAGUCUUCAGCUGUAUGACCCUCAAUCUAGAACAUCAGCUCCUGAGUAUCCAGCUGAAAGACCCUCAAUGCGAACAACAUCAGCUCCUCCCCGAGUCUUCAGCUGCAAGACCCUCAAACUAGAACAUCAGCUCCUCCCCGAGUCUUCAGCUGCACAAUGCUCAAUCUAUAACAUCAGCUCCUGUCCGGUUCUCCAGCUGCAAGACCCUCAAUCUAGAACAUCAGCUCCUCUCCGGAUCUCCAGCUGUAGGGCCCUCAGACUAGAACCUCAGCCCCUCCCCAAGUCUUCAGCUGCACAACCAUCAAACUAGAACCUCAGCUCCUCCCUGUGUCUCCAGCUCCACAACCCUCAAACUAGAACCACACCAGUUACUCCCUGGGUCUCCAGCUCUACGACCCUCCAAUUAAAAUAACAUCAGUUCCUCACGGAUCUCUAUCUGUAUGACCCUCAAACUAGAACAUCUCUCCCACCUGGAUCUCCAGCUCCACGACCCUCACAGAACAGCCAAACCGACUCCUUCAUUGUCUUCAGCUCCACAACCUAAGACAUCAGUGGCAGCACCAGCUCUUCCCUGGACCUCCAGCUCAAUGACUCUCAUAGACUUAAAAGGCAGCACCGGCUCCUCCCCAAGGCUCCAUCUCCACCCCUUCAGAUUUGAACAGCAAUAGCACCAGCUCCUCUCCAGGUCUUCAGCCCCAUGACCCUCCCUGAACAAUCCCUUCUUAUGAAAUUCAGCAGCCAAGAAAACUGCAGCAGAAGUAAAUGAAUAAAUGUUUUGUUUUCAAAUCGAUGUCUCUUUUACGUUCAUGAGUUAACUUUUCUACUUUCCAUUAGCCUUGCAAUCUACUUAUGUCCAAUGUGAAACAGAAACACACCAUUUGAAAUCACGUUUAAAAACUUAGUAGUAUUUUUAAAUAAAAUCAUCACACAGCUGUAAACGCAAUCUUAUUUCUCUCUGCCUGUGCAGAUGUUAUGAAAAUUCGAACUAUGAAUUUACUUUGUUGAGAUUCCCAGAAUACACAUUAAUCCCAAAUGUUA
Molecule: long non-coding RNA, 3769 nt
Organism: Pongo pygmaeus (Bornean orangutan)
Lineage: Eukaryota; Metazoa; Chordata; Mammalia; Primates; Hominidae
Exons: 3
Source: RefSeq, a predicted model, not a curated record